Molecule: ribosomal RNA, 400 nt
Filed under: uncultured bacterium
Lineage: Bacteria
Description: bacterial SSU rRNA
Rfam family: Bacterial small subunit ribosomal RNA
Source: RNAcentral
GGGGAAUAUUGCACAAUGGGCGAAAGCCUGAUGCAGCAACGCCGCGUGAGUGAUGACGGUCUUCGGAUUGUAAAGCUCUGUCUUUUGGGACGAUAAUGACGGUACCAAAGGAGGAAGCCACGGCUAACUACGUGCCAGCAGCCGCGGUAAUACGUAGGUGGCAAGCGUUGUCCGGAUUUACUGGGCGUAAAGGAUGUGUAGGCGGAUACUUAAGUGAGAUGUGAAAGCCCCGGGCUCAACCUGGGGACUGCAUUUCAAACUGGGUAUCUAGAGUGCAGGAGAGGAAAGCGGAAUUCCUAGUGUAGCGGUGAAAUGCGUAGAGAUUAGGAAGAACAUCAGUGGCGAAGGCGGCUUUCUGGACUGUAACUGACGCUGAGGCUCGAAAGUAUGGGGAGCGAAC